RNAcentral lists this ribosomal RNA (248 nucleotides) under uncultured bacterium. RNAcentral's name for it is "partial 16S ribosomal RNA". It matches the Rfam family "Bacterial small subunit ribosomal RNA", at positions 15 to 244 of the family's 1533-position model. The record is from RNAcentral.
GAUCAUGGCUCAGGAUGAACGCUGGCGGCGUGCUUAACACAUGCAAGUCGAACGGAACUACUUUGAUGAGAUUCUUCGGAAAGGAUUUGAUUUAGUUUAGUGGCGGACGGGUGAGUAACGCGUGGGUAACCUGCCUCAUACAGGGGGAUAACAGUUGGAAACGGCUGUUAAUACCGCAUAAGCGCACAGUACCGCAUGGUACCGUGUGAAAAACUCCGGUGGUAUGAGAUGGACCCGCGUCUGAUUAG